GGGGUGGUAGCUCAGUUUGGUUAGAGCGCUUCCCUGUCACGGAAGAGGUCGCGGGUUCGAGUCCCGUUCACCCCGCUA
This 78-nucleotide transfer RNA is filed under the name Candidatus Levybacteria bacterium CG10_big_fil_rev_8_21_14_0_10_35_13. RNAcentral's name for it is "tRNA-Asp". It matches the Rfam family "tRNA". From Rfam's summary of the family: Transfer RNA (tRNA) molecules are approximately 80 nucleotides in length. Lineage: Bacteria; Candidatus Levyibacteriota. The record is from RNAcentral.